GCCCCGGUAGCUCAGCUGGAUAGAGCGUCCCCCUCCUAAGGGGAAGGUCAGAGGUUCGAAUCCUCUCCGGGGCGCCA
This 77-nucleotide transfer RNA is filed under the name Gammaproteobacteria bacterium. RNAcentral describes it as "tRNA-Arg". It matches the Rfam family "tRNA". From Rfam's summary of the family: Transfer RNA (tRNA) molecules are approximately 80 nucleotides in length. Their secondary structure includes four short double-helical elements and three loops (D, anti-codon, and T loops). The record is from RNAcentral. Lineage: Bacteria; Pseudomonadati; Pseudomonadota; Gammaproteobacteria. RNAcentral also lists the same sequence under 1 other name.